Molecule: long non-coding RNA, 400 nt
Filed under: Apteryx rowi (Okarito brown kiwi)
Lineage: Eukaryota; Metazoa; Chordata; Aves; Apterygiformes; Apterygidae
Description: lncRNA (ENSARWG00000000073.1)
Source: RNAcentral
CUGCUCUUUUGGGGCAUUUAUAUACCAGGUUUUGUGCCUCUUCUUCCGUGGUGUCAAGGUCAAAGGCGUGAGCRCAGGACGCCGGUGCUUGGACAUUGCCGGAGCGAGUGACCAUCCUGCGUGUGGGACUCAUGGAGCAGCUGGGAGAGCCAGGGCUGACGCGCACAGGGCAGAGUCCCUGGUCGCUGGAGCCGGAGCGGGUGUCCUCCCCGCCGAAGGGGCGAUGCGGAGCUCUGCAAUCCUCCCUGCAGAAGCAGAGGAGGCYGCUGGUGAGCAGGAGGAAGAUCAGCCACGCGCGAGUGAAAGGGAAAGGGCUGCAACCCUUUGGUUUGUUAUCCUGGAGAAACACGCUCCAUCUCUUUCCUCUGUGUUCCCUAGAGCUUGUGCUUGCUUCCGGAUG